This 468-nucleotide ribosomal RNA is filed under the name uncultured bacterium. RNAcentral's name for it is "partial 16S ribosomal RNA". It matches the Rfam family "Bacterial small subunit ribosomal RNA", at positions 28 to 507 of the family's 1533-position model. The record is from RNAcentral.
GACGAACGCUGGCGGCGUGCUUAACACAUGCAAGUCGAACGGAAAGGCCCUGCUUUUGUGGGGUGCUCGAGUGGCGAACGGGUGAGUAACACGUGAGUAACCUGCCCUUGACUUUGGGAUAACUUCAGGAAACUGGGGCUAAUACCGGAUAGGAGCUCCUGCUGCAUGGUGGGGGUUGGAAAGUUUCGGCGGUUGGGGAUGGACUCGCGGCUUAUCAGCUUGUUGGUGGGGUAGUGGCUUACCAAGGCUUUGACGGGUAGCCGGCCUGAGGGGGUGACCGGCCACAUUGGGACUGAGAUACGGCCCAGACUCCUACGGGAGGCAGCAGCGGGGAAUAUUGCACAAUGGGCGGAAGCCUGAUGCAGCAACGCCGCGUGCGGGAUGACGGCCUUCGGGUUGUAAACCGCUUUCGCCUGUGACGAAGCGUGAGUGACGGUAAUGGGUAAAGAAGCACCGGCUAACUACGUG